GAAAUAGUACAAGUAGUGGGUAUAAUUUAUGCCAUAUGCUUAAAUUCCUAUUUAGAUAAUUUGUUUGACAUCUUUUUUGACGGGACUAUAUUAACGUUACGCGGAAGAAUACUUCGUGCGAAGAGAACUUAUAUGCGUGAACAGUAGCUAACCGUGGCAUAGUGCAACUGAUGUUUCAUCAGUGAAGAGGUGAGUUGCUGUUAGUAAUAUGUGGGUGCUGUGGUGGAGGUGAUUCCUUGAUGAGCUUAAAAGUUUCUAACAACGAUGAAAGGUAAUGAUAUACAGGUUGCAAGGCUGUGCAAGAAAACUGGAAGCAGAGACAGUGUAAAAGAAUUGGGUUUGUUUCGGGAUUUGUGACGGUUCUUACUCAGUAAAAUAAUUAAAUGUAAUAAUGUAGAACUUUAUUUAAUAAAGACUUCCACAAAGUGAUAGCAAGUAAAGGUUUUGUGAAUAUUAGCUAAGUGCCUUAUCCUUACCCUACUUUAAGUAAAAUUACUCAGAAGAAAAUGACUGUGAUAUGUAGAGAAUUUAAUGUUGUUAUUAAUCUAGAUUCCAGCGCUCCUGAUUCACGGUGAAACAACUUCGUUGAUAGUAAAAGAAAAAUAGCUUUGAGUUGUGCUUGUCAACAUUGGCAGUCUGCAGUUAAAAACUGAAGAACAAUGAGAUGAUACCAGUGUUUCAUAUUUUCAACAUUGCCAGGUAUUCUGCACAUAGAUUUAGUUUUCUUGUCCUUGCAGACAAGCGGCAGCUACUGAACAUUGACAUGACUGUUGUAAAAGUUCUUAAACAUAAAUACUUUAAAUGUAGGCCCAACUUUUACAAGAUUUCUUGGAACUAUGAGCAUUUUAAUGGAAACACCAUUGAAUGCUUGGUAUACAGAUGAUAAACAUUGACAUUUCAGGAUGUGUUAAAAUAGCUUGCAGAUUAAGCAGUCAAGUUCAUCAUGAUAGCUGCAGUUAUGGAAGUGGAAUUUCAGAUUUGUUUUGGAAAAAUCCAUAUUUGUGGUAUGGUUGCACCUAAUCAGAUUUCCAAUAAAUUGUAUUCCUGCGCUAAGAUUAGUCAAGAACACGACAGGUGUCAUUGGCUAGUGCAUCAUAUACUGUGGAUCAUUAUAUGAAGCAUGUUGUUGAAGAGGGUAAGUGCCAGUUUCUCAUUAGCAUUCUAGUAUGGAAAUCUCGAGUAUCAAUAUUGACAUUAGUGCCAGUUAUACUUAGCUGAUGGGUAUUGGCAAAAGGAGAUGUAGUGUAUAUUCUUGUUUGUGCCUUUUAUUUGGAUUAAAAUUUGAGGUAAUAAAGGCUUUCUGGAAAUUUACUGAGUAGUAAGCGUGUAUUUUCUAGUGUCAAAUUUAAACGUAACUGCAAAGUUGCAGGGUAAUUUUCAAGAAGCUCUUUUUUGUGAGCCCAGUGCAAGGGAGACAUAUACCAGACUCAGGAAGAGGGUGGGGUGAGUAGUCAGAUAUGGUUCCAAGGCUUCAUGCAUUGGUAAGGGAAUGGGGUAUGACAUUACUAUUAAUGUUUCUUAAUUGAAUUGUGAGAAGGGAAGUGCAGCAGUGUAACACUUUUUUUAGGGUGUGCAGUUUUGAUUAAAAUUGCAUUCUUGGUCUAAAAAUGUUGCUUUUGAUAGUAGAGACCCCACAGGUGUAAUUAAAACGGGUACUAGAAAUAACUUUGUUACUUAUGACUUUUGCUACCUUUGCUUGCUCUGUAACCAUAUGGUGGCACAGUACAGCGUGACGAUAGAAAUUUACUUCCCUUGAGCUAUCUUUCUUUUAUUUCCAGAAUUCUAUGGCAGUGGUGCUCCAGAUGUGCGUUUUAUACCCAAGGCUAAUGAAAUAACUUGCCAGAGUAUGUCUCAAGUUGACUUUGUAGAAUGAUUUUUACUUAAUUAAAAUUUUGGUCUGUUGAGAGUGGAGUACAGUUUUACUAACAGCAGACAGAGUAGGGUCAUUUCCAAAAUUUAACACCGAUCUGGGAAGUCCAGCAUAGCAUUUCUUUAUGAAGUCAACAGAAGUGAUCUGCAGCCUAGCUGUGGGAUUUGGCCCACGAAGUAACAAGACUAUUAUCAUGCUAGACGUACUGGAACUAAUGCACACAGCUUUUUCACGCUGACAGGAUGUAGAAUGGCUUCUCGUAAAAGAAGAGAGAAUGCUUCACAUGCUGUCUUUGUGGAUUCUGUUGUUGAUAGGCUCAUUAUCAACGUAGCAAGUGAAAUUUCCAGAAUUGAAAUGUUUUCGGAUAAGGAAGGAGCUAAGAGAUCACCAGAUGACUGACUGUAAGUAAUAUCUUCAGUAUUUCACUAUACGGAGAAAUCCUUCAAUACUCCUAUGUUAUACACAGCUUAUGCAGAAAAAUUAUCGCAAGGUUAAUUCGGGAAUUUUCAUCAUUCUUGUUUUUGAGUACUAUAGUGUGUUAGCUGAAGUGUUGCAGUUUCAUCUAGUCUUGUAAGGAGCAUAUUGUGGGAUAUUUGCAGUAUAUUUCAUUCUGCUUAAAAGUUAAUGACAUUCGAAGUUGUAUUGCUCCUCUGAUCAUAUCUUUAUGGGUGAUCUGUAACUGGCCGUGCCACUGCAGGCUAGCUGACCGGUCAGUGUUGUCAAAAUUAAAUGCGCUGGUAAAGCUGUUGUCCCAUAUCAUUACUAAAUCAAUGUGCGUGUGAUGCAUUGCACAAAACUUACCCUUAUUAUACUUGACAGUACUCAAAACAGCUUGGCUGUAGUCCCACAUGAAAAGGAAAUCCGAUCCAGCAAAUGUGGAAGAAUACAUAGUACAUUGUUUAUAUCAGGUUUAAUCUUAUGAUGAAUGGAUUAUAGGUGGUAAUUUUGUUGAAUACUUGAACAAACCAAACUGAAAAUUCAUUUGGAACAAGACUUCUCCUUACUGUGUACUUACCGCUCUACCAGAUGAAAUUAACAUCACAAUUUGUUCACACUACAUUGACUCCUUUCGCAGUUCAGGAGAGAACGUCAACUUCUUAAAGUAAGGCAACACUUACGUGUUGAACAAUUUAUGAAAGUAUUUUCUAUAAUACAAAGCAACUCAUUUUGAUAUGUAAUUUUCUUUCCUUAAAUCUGCUUUAGUUUGUGAAACCUGCAGAACAUUGUACAUCAGUUUAAUGCAGGAUUCACACGACAUAAGAGUGCAUAAUAUUUUGCAGUUAGCAAGCUUGUGCUAACUCUGUCUUUUGUUCCAUUAUUAAAAAAAAAUGGCUCUGAGCACUAUGCGACUUAACUUCUGAGGUCAUUAGUUGCCUAGAACUUAAAACUAAUUAAACCU
Schistocerca piceifrons (Central American locust) is the source of this 3269-nucleotide long non-coding RNA. RefSeq lists it as uncharacterized. NCBI's taxonomy places the organism in Eukaryota, Metazoa, Arthropoda, Insecta, Orthoptera, Acrididae. The record is from RefSeq and is a predicted model, not a curated record. The transcript has 3 exons.